Molecule: ribosomal RNA, 795 nt
Filed under: Bacillus pumilus
Lineage: Bacteria; Bacillati; Bacillota; Bacilli; Caryophanales; Bacillaceae
Description: bacterial SSU rRNA
Rfam family: Bacterial small subunit ribosomal RNA
Source: RNAcentral
AUUAUUGGGCGUUAAGGGCUCGCAGGCGGUUUUUUAAGUUUGAUGUGAAAGCCCCCGGCUUAACCGGGGAGGGUCAUUGGAAACUGGGAAACUUUGAGUGCAGAAGAGGAGAGUGGAAUUUCCACGUGUAGCGGUGAAAUUGCGUAGAGAUGUGGAGGAACACCAGUGGCGAAGGCGACUCUCUGGUCUGUAACUGACGCUGAGGAGCGAAAGCGUGGGGAGCGAACAGGAUUAGAUACCCUGGUAGUCCACGCCGUAAACGAUGAGUGCUAAGUGUUAGGGGGUUUCCGCCCCUUAGUGCUGCAGCUAACGCAUUAAGCACUCCGCCUGGGGAGUACGGUCGCAAGACUGAAACUCAAAGGAAUUGACGGGGGCCCGCACAAGCGGUGGAGCAUGUGGUUUAAUUCGAAGCAACGCGAAGAACCUUACCAGGUCUUGACAUCCUCUGACAACCCUAGAGAUAGGGCUUUCCCUUCGGGGACAGAGUGACAGGUGGUGCAUGGUUGUCGUCAGCUCGUGUCGUGAGAUGUUGGGUUAAGUCCCGCAACGAGCGCAACCCUUGAUCUUAGUUGCCAGCAUUUAGUUGGGCACUCUAAGGUGACUGCCGGUGACAAACCGGAGGAAGGUGGGGAUGACGUCAAAUCAUCAUGCCCCUUAUGACCUGGGCUACACACGUGCUACAAUGGACAGAACAAAGGGCUGCAAGACCGCAAGGUUUAGCCAAUCCCAUAAAUCUGUUCUCAGUUCGGAUCGCAGUCUGCAACUCGACUGCGUGAAGCUGGAAUCGCUAGUAAU